AGAAAGCGGACAUUGCUUAUAUAAGACACCUUUCUGCCAGGCUUCCUGAGGUUAGACAUCUAUUAUCUAUAUCUUUCAUUGAACUUAAUGAUUUUAUUUCUAGUUGACUACAAGAAUCAAGUUGCAGCAUGCAGACAUCUAUUAUCUACAAGAAUCAAGUUUCAGGUUGAGAAGCUCUGCACCAAAGGGAAGAUUAAAUCAAAUAGUAGAUAAAGAUCUAAUGGGAGAGUGACUUAUUUAAAUGGGAAGAAAUUGUCCACGUUGCACUCAUGUGUAGACAUUUUAGGUGACUUUGUUCAU
Molecule: long non-coding RNA, 300 nt
Filed under: Trifolium pratense (red clover)
Lineage: Eukaryota; Viridiplantae; Streptophyta; Magnoliopsida; Fabales; Fabaceae
Description: long non-coding RNA (TPRA_LNC003049)
Source: RNAcentral